RNAcentral lists this ribosomal RNA (593 nucleotides) under Trichoderma harzianum. Its description in RNAcentral is "eukaryotic LSU rRNA". The stretch from base 203 to 356 matches the Rfam family "5.8S ribosomal RNA". The record is from RNAcentral. Lineage: Eukaryota; Fungi; Ascomycota; Sordariomycetes; Hypocreales; Hypocreaceae.
GUUACUGAGACUUCACUCCAACCCAAUGUGAACGUUACCAAACUGUUGCCUCGGCGGGAUCUCUGCCCCGGGUGCGUCGCAGCCCCGGACCAAGGCGCCCGCCGGAGGACCAACCAAAACUCUUAUUGUAUACCCCCUCGCGGGUUUUUUUAUAAUCUGAGCCUUCUCGGCGCCUCUCGUAGGCGUUUCGAAAAUGAAUCAAAACUUUCAACAACGGAUCUCUUGGUUCUGGCAUCGAUGAAGAACGCAGCGAAAUGCGAUAAGUAAUGUGAAUUGCAGAAUUCAGUGAAUCAUCGAAUCUUUGAACGCACAUUGCGCCCGCCAGUAUUCUGGCGGGCAUGCCUGUCCGAGCGUCAUUUCAACCCUCGAACCCCUCCGGGGGGUCGGCGUUGGGGAUCGGCCCUGCCUUGGCGGUGGCCGUCUCCGAAAUACAGUGGCGGUCUCGCCGCAGCCUCUCCUGCGCAGUAGUUUGCACACUCGCAUCGGGAGCGCGGCGCGUCCACAGCCGUUAAACACCCAACUUCUGAAAUGUUGACCUCGGAUCAGGUAGGAAUACCCGCUGAACUUAAGCAUAUAAAAGGGGGGAAAGAGAA